Molecule: unclassified non-coding RNA, 161 nt
Filed under: uncultured Eurotiomycetes
Lineage: Eukaryota; Fungi; Ascomycota; Eurotiomycetes
Description: sequence contains ITS2
Source: RNAcentral
UCAACCAUCAAGCCUGGCUUGUUAUUGGGUCUUUUAUCGUUUAAGACGAUAGGCCCGAAAGAUAAUGGCGGUGUCAAGAUUGACCCCAAGUGCGAUGAGCUUUUUAGCAUGCGCUGAGGUGGUCAUCUUUGGCCUGGCCUAGUUAAAUCUUUUAACUAUAA